Molecule: ribosomal RNA, 443 nt
Filed under: uncultured bacterium
Lineage: Bacteria
Description: partial 16S ribosomal RNA
Rfam family: Bacterial small subunit ribosomal RNA
Source: RNAcentral
CCUACGGGAGGCAGCAGUGGGGAAUAUUGCACAAUGGGCGAAACUCUUAUGCAGCAACGCCGCGUGAAGGACGAAGGUCUUCGGAUUGUAAACUUCUAUAAAUAGGGACGAAAGAAAUGACGGUACCUAAGUAAUAAGCCCCGGCUAACUACGUGCCAGCAGCCGCGGUAAUACGUAGGGGGCAAGCGUUAUCCGGAAUUACUGGGCGUAAAGGGAGAGUAGGCGGCAAGGUAAGCGGGAUGUGAAAGCCUUAAGCUUAACUUAAGGAUUGGAUAAAGAACUAUCUAGCUUGAGUACAGGAGAGGAAAGCGGAAUUCCUAGUGUAGCGGUGGAAUGCGUAGAUAUUAGGAAGAACACCAGUGGCGAAGGCGGCUUUCUGGACUGAAACUGACGCUGAGGCUCGAAAGCGUGGGUAGCGAACAGGAUUAGAUACCCGUGUAGUC